UAUAUAUAUAUAUAUAUAUAUAUAUAUAUAAGGUGUUUUUUAUUAACUGUUUUAAGUAUGUGCUUUCCAUCUGAAUCGGGAAGAGUGCUUGAGCAACAGGGAAACAAUUUCUAAAAAAUAAUCUUAAGGAUACUGAAGAUUGUGUAGCAGAACAUGGAAUUUAAGAUGGACAUACUAAUGAAGGUGUUUGGAUGUACUAAUGAAGGAGUAAACACAGACAUUUGUUUAAUCUUCAUUUGGCUUUGAAAGAUUGACAGAAGAAAAUCAAAACCCAAGGGCAUGUAAUGGUGGUGAGCGGGAUUAAACCUGGGCAGUUAUUACAGUAUGCAGAAGAUUUACAGACGAACAAAUACGCAAAGGAACAUUAACAAGUAAAACAGUGAGGAAAUAACUAAAAGCAUACAUCUGAAAGUCUCGGUAACUCUGGUGUAGGGGCAAAACACCCUUCUACUGCUGUCGAGGAACAAGAUAGAAUAGCAGAAACUAGGAAUAUGUGACGUGGCUUUUGAUGGGGCUUCAAUAUGUUGUGAAGGUGACAGAGAGGAAGAGCAGGCAGUGAAGAGGACUUCAUACAGUCAGAGGCAGAGUGGAUUGCUAUGCCAGGUGGCUUGGGCAAACCAUGGCGCAAGACAAAAAAAAAAAUCAGGACAACCGGAUACUAAGGUUUCUGAUAAAUGAACGGACACAACUAAAACAGUCUCCAAGGUACUGUAAACAAGGUAUGUUUAUUUGUGUUAAACACAUAGAUGCAAAAUGAUAGAGCACUAUGAAUUGAUGACAUGAAGAUCUGUAUUAACAUGCUGGUAUUAUUUUGUAUAAGACAGAAACCCUGUAUGUACUCUGCCAGUACCUAUUGUAUAGAAGCCUUUGUUUAUAAGAGCAUCUAAAGAUUGGUCUCUAAAAUCCCUUCGACCAACCUGUAUUUUCUGGGUCAUGCCAAGUGUUCCAUUUAUGUACAUUGGAAAUGAAAUUAUACUACAGAUGUUGGCAAUUAGGGUCUGAAGUACAAUUUUCAAUAUACAAUGCCUUUGAUUUACCACUCAGUUAGUUGACCAUUGGACUUCCCAGUCGUUUAGAUUUUAAACAGUAAUAUUUCACAGUACUUUUAUAUCAAAUGACAUCCUAAUAUUGCAUUGUUGACAAAAAAACUACAAUAUUGCUAAAAUUUAACACACUUUUAUAUGCUUAGUUACUUCCUAGUAACUUUUUUUGUUGUUUGUUUCAUUUUUCUACUACAUGCCAAACUUCUGAGCUGAUCUCCUUGAGAAUUCCAGCAGCCCCUGUGGUUCUGGUAUCUGUCAUUGAAAAACAACAAUCUGCAUUCUUGAAGCUUUGAAAGAGAACAACCUUUUUCUAUGUUGUACAGAUGCAUCUCUCAAUAACAGACGGGUUGGAAAGGAAAUCCCAAGGCAGGUGUGGUUAUUAAUAGUGGAUUUGUUGGUACUUGCCUAGUAAAGAGAGGAUAGAAUAAAAACAUUACUGAACAGGCUUUAAAUAUAUCUACUGAAGGUCAGUAAAGUAUAGGAUUCAGGAUGUAUUGGUACCAGCCUGGUUCCUCUUGGUAGAAUCUAACGAAUGUAAUAGUUUUCUCGCUAAAAGGCAAAAGGUUCAAGUAAACCAAAAUCAACACAGAGCUAUAUAUCAUAACAUGACUAAGGUUAUGGCCAAUAUCUUUCACUGUAGUUUCUUGAAUAUUCCUUGUGCAUGGUUGGUAAGUGCAUUAAAAAUUACUAUAUAUUUGUUUUUAACAAAUGUUUAUGAAACAAUCUACAGUUCUGUUGUGAGCAGUAGUUGAGAGGCCAUGCUAUUUGUGUUCUACCUGAAUGAGAAUGCAAGUGCUAGUUGACUGGAUAAAUGGGAGCCUUGAUCACACUACUGGCUCAUUUGUAUAAAGGGCUUCCUUAUAACUAGAGAGCACUGCAUACCAAAGCUGCAUUAGUAAUGAUUAUAGAAACAAAAUGGUGAUUUAUGUUAUUUUAGAUCUGUGCUUAAAACAAUGAACUUUUGUUUUUACAGUUUAAUAAAGAAAAGAAAAUAAAUUAUUGUCAUGCUUAUUGAACCUAAUAUGACCACAUUAUACACAUUGCAAUGAAUUCUGUAGAAUUUAGUGUUCACAAUCAUUCAUCCAUUGCACUUUUUUUUCUGCAAAAUGUAUUUAGGGAAACAUUGCCUUGUGGCAGGAUGCCACAUUUAACCAACAUAUCCACAUUCACUUUUUUGUAUUUUUUCCCCCAGAACAUCAAUUAAACGCCUAUUAAUGUGCUGUCCUUAAAUGUUUGGUCACACCCAUACUUACACUUUGGGCAGAAACGGUCGAUAGUACUAUUGCCCUCUGGUGGUUUAGUUAUACUUUUUCCAGCAGAAGCAUGAGUCUGUAGAGAAUAACCCUAUUGAUCUGGCUGUGUGGUAUACCAACAGGUUUCUUUGCAAAAGUAGUUGUUUGUAUUUAGCUUGAUUUUAUCCAAGCUAAUGGAUCCACAGUUUUAGCCAUUAAGCCUGGGUAAGGAUAAAGUAUGGGGUACUGUACCUCAUUAGCUUCUGUAGAAGUAAAUUGGUUUAUUUUAAGUACAGGUAAGAGUUGUUUUUUGUAUGUUAUGAAUGUUUAAAACAA
Molecule: long non-coding RNA, 2611 nt
Organism: Polyodon spathula (Mississippi paddlefish)
Lineage: Eukaryota; Metazoa; Chordata; Actinopteri; Acipenseriformes; Polyodontidae
Exons: 6
Source: RefSeq, a predicted model, not a curated record